Molecule: long non-coding RNA, 765 nt
Organism: Herpailurus yagouaroundi (jaguarundi)
Lineage: Eukaryota; Metazoa; Chordata; Mammalia; Carnivora; Felidae
Exons: 2
Source: RefSeq, a predicted model, not a curated record
CGUCUCCUGACUGGUGCCUCGCCUCCUGGAUUCCCUUAGAUGUCCUCUAGGCCUGCAGUCUGGAGCCCCCUCCUCCAGGGGGCCCUCUGGAACUUCCCCACCAGGUGCACCUCUCCUGCGCACUCGUCUGUCUUAGCCGCCAGGCAAGUAGUCCACGGCAAGUGCAGGGCCGGGUGGAAUUCACACGUGCGUCCUGAGCACCUGCUCGUGGCUUCUUAGUGACGGCUGGCACUGAGUUCCAAGAGCAACAGAUUACCAAGUAGGUGCUGCUGGGGAGUUGGAGCACGAGGUGAGGCGGGAGCACGAAGGCGGGGAAGCUCCUGGGAGCCAUGUGAGCUCAGCGGCAGGGGCUCCUGCGUCCAGCAGUGGAGGACGGCGGCCGCCCAAAAAGACGUGUCCACAUCCUCACCCCCGGUGCCUGGGAAUGGGACCUUAUUUGCAAAAAGGGGUCUCUGCAGAUGUCUUGAAUUACGGAUCCUGACAUGAGCGGGUCACCCUGGAUUAUCUGGGGGGGGGUCCCUAAAGCCAGUGACCACCAUCCUCAUAGGAGAGGCACAGAGGACAGACAGGCAGACACAGGGUGAGGCCACGGGACUCGAGCGAGGGGGCCACAGCCCAGGAGAGCCCGGAGACAGCAGGAGCCGAAGGAGGCAGGAAGCACCCUCCCCGAGAGCACCCGAGGGUGAGCACGGCCCUGCCCACACCUGCAUUCUGGACUUCCAGCCUCAGAACACUGAGAAUAAAGUUCUGCUAGGUUUUUUGAAA